GCAAGUCGAACGGAGUCCAGCCUUUAAGUCCUUCGGUUCAAAGCGGGGAAGACUGAGUGGCGGACGGGUGAGUAACACGUGGGCAACCUGGCUCAUAGAGGGGGAUAACAGAGAGAAAUUUCUGCUAAUACCGCAUAAGCACACACUGCCGCAUGGCAGAGGGUGAAAAGAGAAUCGCUAUGAGAUGGACCCGCGUCGGAUUAGCCAGUUGGCAGGGUAAGAGCCUACCAAAGCGACGAUCAGUAGCCGGUCUGAGAGGAUGAGC
This 265-nucleotide ribosomal RNA is filed under the name uncultured bacterium. RNAcentral's name for it is "partial 16S ribosomal RNA". It matches the Rfam family "Bacterial small subunit ribosomal RNA", at positions 57 to 305 of the family's 1533-position model. The record is from RNAcentral.